UACGUGGGGUGCAAGCGUUAUCCGGAUUUACUGGGCGUAAAGCGUGCCGUCGGUGGCUACGUAAGUCUUUCGUUUAAGCCUGGGGCCCAACUCCAGAAAAGCGGGGGAAACUACAUAGCUUGAGUCUGUUCGGGGAACUUAGAAUUCUCGGUGGAGGGGUGAAAUCCGUAGAUAUCGAGAGGAAUACCAUACGCGAAGGCAGAGUUCUAGGACACGACUGACACUCAGGGACGACAGCUCGGGGAGCAAAGUGG
This 254-nucleotide ribosomal RNA is filed under the name uncultured bacterium. RNAcentral describes it as "partial 16S ribosomal RNA". It matches the Rfam family "Bacterial small subunit ribosomal RNA", at positions 524 to 776 of the family's 1533-position model. The record is from RNAcentral.